Molecule: ribosomal RNA, 499 nt
Filed under: uncultured Bacteroidota bacterium
Lineage: Bacteria; Pseudomonadati; Bacteroidota
Description: bacterial SSU rRNA
Rfam family: Bacterial small subunit ribosomal RNA
Source: RNAcentral
GUCGAGGGGUAGAGUUUCUUCGGAGACUUGAGACCGGCGCACGGGUGCGUAACGCGUAUGCAAUCUACCCUUUACUGGGGAAUAGCCCGGAGAAAUUCGGAUUAAUGCCCCAUAUGCCCACGGAAUCGCAUGGUUCAGUGGGGAAAGUUCCGACGGUAAAGGAUGAGCAUGCGUCCCAUUAGCUAGUUGGUGAGGUAACGGCUCACCAAGGCGACGAUGGGUAGGGGGCCUGAGAGGGUGAUCCCCCACACUGGUACUGAGACACGGACCAGACUCCUACGGGAGGCAGCAGUGAGGAAUAUUGGGCAAUGGAGGCAACUCUGACCCAGCCAUGCCGCGUGCAGGAAGACGGCCCUCUGGGUUGUAAACUGCUUUUGUUUGGGAAUAAACCCUUCUACGUGUAGGAGGCUGAAGGUACCUUACGAAUAAGCAUCGGCUAACUCCGUGCCAGCAGCCGCGGUAAUACGGAGGAUGCAAGCGUUAUCCGGAUUUAUUGGGU